AGGUGAGUAGUGUAGUGGCUUGAGUGUUGGACUAGGACUCUGGAGACCAGGGGUUGAAUCCCUGCUCAGCUA
Molecule: transfer RNA, 72 nt
Filed under: Phrynosoma platyrhinos (Desert horned lizard)
Lineage: Eukaryota; Metazoa; Chordata; Lepidosauria; Squamata; Phrynosomatidae
Description: tRNA-OTHER
Source: RNAcentral